AGACCCCCUUCACCUAUGGGUUCUUUUUCUUCUUGAUUUCGAUUCUCUAAUCCAAUAAUUUAUUUUUCGUUUGGUGCUAUAAGGGAGUCCCUUUUUUUAUUUUCAGUAAUAUUUUUAUUAAUGUUCCUAUUUCCAUUAAAAUUGAAAAGAAGUUAUUUUAUUGGUAUGAUCCAUGGUUUAACCUUAUAUGCAUUAUAUAGCAACACAAAUGCUGGGAAGAACCAAAGUUCUAGAUUCGGUAUAGGAUGACUUAGUAUUUCUUAAUUUAGUCCCAUCCAAUCAAAAUGGCUUCCUUCUUUAUUGGAUGGGUUGCUUUCUUAAUCUUGAUAAGUUGUGAAAUAAAAAAAGGUCCAUUUUAUCAAUUAUUUGAUAAUUCUUAACCACAGUCUUAAUAUUUUUGUUACUCUUGGUACUGGUAUCGACCCAGGACUCAAUAUCGACCUUAUUUCUAAGACAAAAAUGAAGAAUUCUUCAAUUAAAAAACUUUUUGUGCGAAAAAUUCCCCAUAGCAUCUAGGAUAUCGCCUUCUCCUAGAUAAUUAUGGAUAGGGAUAUCCCUCAGUGUAUCAAAAAAAUUUUGUUUAUCCAUGUUGUAAUGAUAAGAACUCUCUUCCCUCUUAUUUACUUGGAAUGGUGAUCAUAAGCAUACGGGUCCCUCUUAUCUUGAUAAUUAAUAUAUUUAUAUGAUAAAAAAUCAUAUCCAUAGUGUUUUUUAAAAUUAAAUUUUUUAUAUUUUUGUUCUUGAUUCAAUUUAUAUUCUUGAGUCAGUAAUGAGUUCACUUGAAUUUUUUUUUGUAAUGAAUUAAUCUUUCUUUUUCAUCUGAAUCCUAUUUUGUUAAAUCUUUAUUUUGAGCCAAAUAGUGUUGAGAGUCAUUGUCUUGGUACUAAUUUUAGCCAUCUAUUCUGAACUAAAUUGUAUUGAUAAUGACUCCUUAACUAGUUUUUCCAUUCAUUUAUUCCAAGAUGCCAAACGAUUUUUUGUCUUAACCUAUAAUGAUGUCUUAAUCUGGAAUGAGAUACUCCAUGUUCUUCAAAAUAAUCUUUUAUUCAUUUUUAAGAAAAAGAGAUGUUCCAUGAUAUUGAAGGAUAGGUUUGAAUUAUAAAAACUAAUAACUUGGGUUUGUGAUAAUUUGUAAAAUACAUAUGCUUGUGAGAGGGAGGAUAAGUCACAAAGCUUUUUCAUUUUUAUUUCUAAUUCCUUGCCACGGCCACCUUGGGGAGGGACUUCAUAAUUGUAGCCUCCAUCUUCCAUCCUAUCAGCCAGUUGUCCAUUGUAUCCACCACGUCCACGGCCACGGGAACCUCGCCCUCUGCCUCGACCAUAGCCACGAUUGUGAUUCCCGCCUCCAUCCUCAUACUCAACAUUCCCUCUACUCAUUGGCCUUCUUCUACCAUCUCGACCAUUAUGUGAUCCUACCUUCACCUGAUUAACUGGUAAUGGAGGUUGAUUCCCGAUAGAUGACAUAUCCAAUUCUAUUUUUGAAAGGGUUAUAGUAAUGAUGGACACAUGCCUAGUGGUCUCUGUUAAGAAAUGGCUUAAAAUUGGUAGUGGAUUGUUGUUGUUGGUAGUGGGUUGUUGGUGGUAGUGGAUUAGUGGAUGGUUGUUGGUGUCCAUUUUCAACCACAAAUCUUUGCCAAAGUUUUGGACAAUUAUGUCCUUGAACUCUCUUAUAAAUAGAGAGGUUCAUUAGCCAUAUUGAUCAUCCCAAACCAAGAGAGAGCAAAGCUUGUUCUUUGAAAGCUAGGAUUUUAGCUUUCGGGUUUUCUAUAGGGGUUGAGAGUUGUGAGGUUCUCGGGUUGUGUCUUGAGUGUAAAACACUUGUAAUCUUCAUCUUGUUAUAGUGAAAUUUCUUUUCGCCUCUGCCCGUGGACGUAGGCAUUAAAGCCGAACCACGUAAAUCCUUGUGUUCACUUUAUUUUUCGUUUCGGUCAAUUUACUUGUAGUCAUAUCGGAGUUCUCGAAUCGAUCCUUUCCGCAACAAAUUGGUAUCAGAGCGUAGUUGAAGGAGUGAUAAUAUUUUCUGAAUUGCCCUGUGACUGCAGCUUUGUCUGAUCUUUCACAUCAGGAAGAAAAUAUUAUCAUUCAUUCAAAGGUUCCAAAUUAUGGCUACAAGUGUUUCAUCGACUAAGUAUGAUGUCGAGAAAUUUACCGGGAAAAAUAGUUUCAGUUUAUGGCGCAUCAAGAUGCGGGCAGUGCUGGUUCAACAAGGAUUGCUAAAAGCAUUGUCUGGUAAAGAUAAAUUACCAAGCACGCUUUCGGAAGAGCAAAAGGAUGACAUGCUAGAAAGAGCACAUAGUGCUAUUCUGCUAUGUCUAGGAGAUGAAGUGCUACGAGAAGUAGCGGAUGAGAAAACCGCGUCCGGUUUGUGGCUCCGGUUAGAGAGCAAGUACAUGACGAAGUCAUUGACGAACCGGCUCUACCUCAAGCAAAGACUCUAUGCCCUGAAGAUGGAGGAAGGUACACCUGUUUCCCAGCACCUGGAUAAAUUCAAUUCCAUUAUCAUGGAUUUGAAUAAUAUCGAUAACAAAAUCGAUGAUGAGGACCAAGCAAUAAUUGUUUUGUGUUCUUUGCCUCCCUCGUAUGAGAAUUUUGUUGAUACAAUGAUGUACGGUCGUGAUGACCUGACUCUAGAGGAGGUGAAAAAUGCCUUAAGUUCCAGUGAGUUGAGGAAGAAAAUCACUGGUAAGGUGGUCGAAAACAAUGAAGGCGAAGGCUUGGUUGCUCGAGGAAGAUCCAAGGCAAAGGGUGGAAGUUCAAGUAAAAGCCAUCCUAGAUCGCAGUCCAAGAAGAGAAUACAGUGCUACUACUGUAAGAAGUACGGGCACAUGAAGGUAGAUUGUCCGAAAAGGAAGGAGAAAUCAGAAUCACAGGAGCAACAAAAUGAUCGUGCGAAUGUAGCUGAUGCAGAUUCUUCAAGUGAUGCCGAGAUCGUUCUUGCAGUAUCCGACUCUUACGCUGGUGGGAGAUGGAUUCUUGAUACGGGAGCUACAUUUCAUAUAAGUACUUCGAAAGAUGCAUUCUCAACAUACGAGAAGCAUUCUGGUUCAGUACUAAUGGGAAAUGACCACGCAUGUCAAGUCAUGGGGAUUGGCACAGUUCGUAUAAAGAUGUUUGACGGUAUUGUUAGAACUCUAACUGAUGUUCGGCACAUUCCAGAAAUGAAGAAAAAUUUGAUCUCUUUGAGUACGUUGGACAAGAAAGGCUUUCGGUACUCUGCUGAAGGUGGAGUUCUCAAGGUAUUCUCGGGUGCUUUGACUGUGAUACGUGGUAAUUUGGAGCGGGGCCUUUACUUCCUCGAUGGUUCCUCGGUUACAGGUGUUGCGGGAGUGUCAUCAUCAGAUGAUCUAGAUUCUGACACCACGAAGUUAUGGCAUAUGCGGCUCGGGCAUAUGAGCGAGAGAGGCUUAUCGGUGCUAAGCAAACGAGGAUUAUUGUCUGGGCAGUGUACAGGAAAGUUGAAUUUCUGUGAGCACUGCGUCUUCGGUAAGCAGACUCGGGUAAAGUUCAGCACUGGGAUUCACAAGACAAAAGGCACAGUGGAUUACUUCCAUUCUGACCUUUGGGGGCCUUCUCCGACAAUUUCUAAAGAUGGUUACAGAUAUCUGCUUACCUUUAUCGAUGAUUACUCGAGAAAGGUUUGGGUGUAUUUUCUGAAGAGCAAGUAUGAGGUUCUCAUCAACUUCAAGCAAUUUAAAGCUUUGAUCGAAAAUCAAACAGGAAAGAAGAUCAAGCGAUUCCGGACGGAUAAUGGCUUGGAGUUUUGCUCAGGUGAAUUCAAUGAGUUCUGCAAGAAUGAAGGAAUAGUGAGACACCGCACUGUUCGUCGAACACCACAACAAAAUGGAGUUGCAGAACGCAUGAAUAGAACUCUCUUGGAGCGAGCUCGUUGCAUGCGAUCAAAUGCUGGGCUCGGUGAAGAAUUUUGGGCUGAAGCUGUUAAUACUGCUUGUUAUUUGGUUAACAGAUCUCCGUCAACAGCUAUUGAGCUGAAGACUCCUGAGGAAGUAUGGUCUGGUUCUCCUGCUGAUUACUCUGGUUUAAGAGUGUUUGGCUGCCCUGCGUAUGCUCAUGUAAAUGAGGGAAAACUCAAACCGAGGGCGAAGAAAUGCAUAUUUCUUGGAUACGGCCAAGGGGUGAAAGGAUACAGGUUGUGGUGUCCUGAUCCGGUUUCGUCCAAGUUCAUCAUCAGCAGAGAUGUGACUUUUGAUGAGUCAUCCAUGCUUCGAUCCACCACAAAUUCCCGGGAAAAGGAGGAGUCAGAUAGAAUGGGAGAUCACGGUGUUGAGAAGCAGGUGGAGUGUCAGGUGGACGCUCCAAUUCCUACGGAAGGUACUUCAGUCCAGGAUGAUCAAGUUGAGGUGCAAGAUUCCGAUGAAGAUGAGUCACCUCAAGAAAAACCAUAUAGCAUUGCCACUGGAAGAACGAAGAGACAAAUCAAACCAAAUCCGCGUUACGCUAAUCUGGUGUCUUUCGCGCUCAGUGUGGCGGAGUCCAUUGGUAUAGAACCUUCCAGUUAUAAUGAGGCUGUCACGUGUGAUGAGUCGGCACAGUGGGCAAUUGCUAUGAGUGAGGAGAUAGAAUCUCUUCACAAGAACCAUACUUGGGAGUUGGUUAAGCCGCCAAGUAACCAGAAGAUAGUUGGUUGCAAAUGGGUCUUCAAGAAAAAGGAAGGCAUCCUAGGGAUUGAAGCAACUAGAUUCAAGGCACGAUUGGUUGCUAAAGGCUUCACUCAGAAAGAGGGGAUUGACUACAAUAAAGUUUUCUCCCCAGUCGUAAAGCAUUCUUCCAUUCGUGUAUUACUUGCCAUGGUGGCCAAGUCUGAUCUAGAACUUGAGCAGCUUGACGUAAAAACGGCGUUCUUGCAUGGUGAGCUCGAGGAAACAAUCUACAUGCGUCAACCAGAGGGUUUUACAGUUCCUGGUAAAGAAGACCAUGUCUGUCUAUUAAAGAAGUCUUUAUAUGGAUUGAAACAAUCCCCAAGGCAGUGGUACAAGCGGUUUGAUAGCUUCAUGAUUCAGCAUGGUUACACAAGAUGUGACUAUGAUGCUUGUGUCUAUCAUCGGAAGCUCUCAGAUGGUUCGCACAUUUAUUUGUUGCUGUAUGUUGAUGACAUGUUAAUUGCUUCCAAAAACAUGUCGGAAAUCAACAAGUUAAAGUCGCAGUUGAGUGGUGAGUUCGAGAUGAAGGAUCUGGGUGCUGCCAAGAAAAUUUUGGGCAUGGAUAUUCACAGAGAUCGCAAGGCGGGCAAGCUUCGUGUGUCGCAGAAGAACUACAUUGAAAAGGUUCUUCAACGCUUCGGCAUGGAUAAAGCGAAAACUGUGAGUACUCCGUUGGCACCACAUUUCAAACUAUCUGCAGAGUUGUCACCACAAUCUGAUGAAGAAAAGCAGCAAAUGUCUCACAUUCCAUACUCGAGUGCAGUUGGAAGCGUGAUGUAUGCAAUGGUUUGCACUCGUCCAGACAUUUCACAUGCAGUUAGUGUGGUCAGCAGAUACAUGAGUUGUCCUGGCAAGGAACACUGGCAGGCCGUGAAAUGGAUUCUCAGGUACUUGAGAGGUUCUGCAGAUUUAUGCUUGGUAUAUGAUCAGAGUGACUGCACUAGCAGUGUCACGGGCUAUGUGGACUCUGAUUAUGCUGGAGAUCUGGACAAAAGAAGAUCUCUGACGGGUUAUGUUUUCACUUAUUCUGGAGGAGCCAUUAGUUGGAAAGCUGUGUUACAGUCUACCGUAGCCUUAUCUACGACUGAGGCGGAAUAUAUGGCGUUAGCAGAAGCAGUGAAAGAAGCAUUGUGGAUGAAAGGUCUAGUAAGCAGUUUGGGUUUACAACAGGAUUUCACUGUUGUAUUUUGCGAUAGCCAGAGUGCCAUACAUCUGACUAAAAAUCAGAUGUUUCAUGAACGGACCAAACACAUUGAUGUCAGAUAUCAUUUUGUUCGGGAACAUGUUACGCAAGGUGACAUUGUUAUCAGCAAGGUUGCUACCGAGAAGAAUCCUGCAGAUAUGUUAACUAAGGUGAUCCCUGCAUAUAAGUUCAAGCAUUGCUUGGACUUGAUAGGUAUUCGGGAUUGAUUAGCGCCAGAGAGGCGUUUGGAAGAGGUGAUCCAGUUCACUAUGAUGUUCAGCUUGGUAAAUUUCAAGCCAAGGUGGAGAUUUGUUAAGAAAUGGCUUAAAAUUGGUAGUGGAUUGUUGUUGUUGGUAGUGGGUUGUUGGUGGUAGUGGAUUAGUGGAUGGUUGUUGGUGUCCAUUUUCAACCACAAAUCUUUGCCAAAGUUUUGGACAAUUAUGUCCUUGAACUCUCUUAUAAAUAGAGAGGUUCAUUAGCCAUAUUGAUCAUCCCAAACCAAGAGAGAGCAAAGCUUGUUCUUUGAAAGCUAGGAUUUUAGCUUUCGGGUUUUCUAUAGGGGUUGAGAGUUGUGAGGUUCUCGGGUUGUGUCUUGAGUGUAAAACACUUGUAAUCUUCAUCUUGUUAUAGUGAAAUUUCUUUUCGCCUCUGCCCGUGGACGUAGGCAUUAAAGCCGAACCACGUAAAUCCUUGUGUUCACUUUAUUUUUCGUUUCGGUCAAUUUACUUGUAGUCAUAUCGGAGUUCUCGAAUCGAUCCUUUCCGCAACAGUCUCCAAUGGAACAAGUCUUUCUUCCAAAGGCUCCCCCAUACCAGUUAUAUUCGUGGAUCCAAUUGAUGUAAUCUGAUGAAGACCCACAAUUCUUUUCUUAACUAACUCUACAAUAGUUACAGCCUGUUAAUGGCUUUUCCCAUUGCCUUAAACACUAUUUGAUUGGAGCCGUUUUCCUGAAGCAAAGUCAAGGCGUAACUGAUAUAAUUGCGCAUACUGCCUUGAUUGCUGAUCCCAAUCUCCUCCUCGUCAAUGGGUGUCUCUGCUUUCGGCCUCUCCACACUCUGGUAUCCAUCUUUAAUGCUUUGUUAAUGGAGGAUUAAUUGGGAGGGUAAGCUACACUAAGAGGGACCCCUCUUCUACACCUUAUUUCUCUUUCUUUUACACCCUAAUGCCUUGGCACAUAGGGUGUAUAAUAUAUAUACUUUAGUUUUAGAUUUGUGAUUGUGAAUCGAAUUCCGAUUCCGAUUACUGUUAGGAAUGGAGUUCUUACUGUUUUUAUAUAAUUAGUACACAAACCUAGGGGUAUAGAAUUAGGACAUAAACUUUAAUGUUGAGUCCAGGGGUUCGCAGGGAGCCCAGCUCGGAAAAAGUUUUUUAUUUAGAUUUUUCAAAAUUUUUAAAACUUUAAAUUAGUAAAAGUAAAAUUUUAUUUUAACCCUUCUUAAAAAUGAUAAAAAAUUAAUUUAAUCUUUUUAAAAUUAUAAAAAUAUAGACUAUUAAAAUGAUGAAAUUACAUUUUUACUAUUAUAAAAAUUACAAUUUAAUUUCGAUCCUAAAAAAAUUUCUAACUUAACCUUUGUUGAGCCAUUGAGCCCAAAUUGUAAUGUCAAAUAAUUUAAUUAAAUAAUGGACUUCUCUUUCCUUCCUAGAGAUUCUUUCUUAUAUUAAGAAUGCAGAUUUAACCAUUAAAUAGAAUACAAAGAAAAUGAUCUAAACUAUUGGGUGUAAACAAAAAUUUCUAAAGAUUUUAUAUUAAUUUCUUGCACAUAUAUAAAUUGUUUUCUUAAUAGUUAUGUAUAAAAAAAAGUUUAAAAAUAAAGAUUAAAUGUCGAUUGAGUCUUUAACUCGAUUGGUAUGAGUAUUAUUGUCAAUGCAAGAGGAUGUGGGUUCGAGUACGCUGAAGUAUAUUAUCCUCUUAUUUAUGGGUUGAGAAUGAACUAUUGGUAGUUCUAGACAUUGUGUCAAAAAGAACAGAUAUGGUCAAAAUAUAUAAUGAGAUUGUUCAAAAAUAAAAAUAAAAAUAAAAACAAAAAAUUUGGAGGUAUUUCCCAUAUCUAUUGAAUUCUUAAUUACUAAUUACUACUAGACAGAUCUAUAGAAAAUACUAAAGACUUUGGAGGUAUUUCAAGGAGUUCAUCUUCACUUUCAAGCAUAUUCAAAACUUUGGUCAUUGAAGGACGAUAUAUGGGCUUCGUCUGUAUGCACCAAAAGGCUACAAUUAUCAUUUUCCUCACAAUUUUGGUAUCAUUUUCACUCAAGUCUUCAAGCUUCAGGUUCUCCCCUAAUUCAAAUUGAUCAUAAAUCCAUGUAGGGAAAUAAUUUUGACUUGAAUGGUCAACAGAAUCUUUCAAAUUUUUUCUCCUUCCUACAAUUUCCAUUAGCAUCAUUCCAAAACUAUAAAUAUCAGCUUUAUACGAUAUAUUUCCAAUAUUUUUAUAAAACAAUUCAGGAGACAUAUAUCCAAAUGUACCACGUGCUGCUGUGAGAGAAAUAAUACUAUCAUCCACUGGAUAUAAUUUUGCGAGACCAAAAUCUGAAACUUUUGGAUUAAAAUUGUCAUCUAAAAGAAUGAUAUGGGGCUUGAUAUCAAAAUGCAAAAUCUUCAUGGCACAACCAUUAUGUAAAUAUUCAAUGCCCCGACCCACUCCAACUACUAUCUCAAACAUCUUUUGCCAACUCAAGCUGUUAUUUCCUGUUGAAAAUAUAAAUUUGUCUAACGACCCAUUUGUCAUGAAAUCAUAAACAAGAGCUUGUUUUUUUCCCUCCACACAAAAUCCAAUAAGUUGCACCACGUUCACAUGAUGAAUCCUUCCAAUAGUUGCUACUUCAUUGAUAAAAUCUUGGCCAUUACCUUUUGAUUCCUUUAGCAAUUUUAUUGCAACGAGAUUACCACUUCGAAGUUUACCUUUAAACACAGUACCAUAACCUCCCUGACCUAAUUUAUCGUUGAAACCUCCUGUUAUUCUCUUUAAUUCAGCAUAUGAAUAUCUUAUAGGCAUAAAAUUGGUUUGACUUUGAAGAAAGUUCUCAAUCAAAUCAUCUACCGACAGAUGUCUUCUUCUUAAUUUUCGUAUAAUAAGAACAGCCAAACAAGAUAUCCCCAAAAGUGUUCGAGCUAAUAUAAUCCCUAUUUUCCAAGAAAAAGUAAGUAAAAGAAUCAAUCCACACCGAUAUGUAUAUAUUAGUUAUUAAAACUUGGUUUGAUUAAUGCUUAUUUUAUUUUUUUGUAUUGUUUGCUAUUUGUUGAAUCUUUAAUUUAUUUUUUACUUUUAAACUUUUCAUUUUCUAUUGAAAUAAGAAACAGUAGAUGGAACCUAAUUUAAGCAAUGUGCAAAUGCUCUAUUUUUUCAAAACAAACUCCGAAACAUAAUUUUUAUUUUGACCAUAGUAUCAUAAAUGUACCGAUUUAUACAUACCUGUUAUUGUAACACACAAAAUCUGUACUCCUGUUAAAAGAAAGAUUAAAAAGUAAUUGUUACUUGAAUGCAGAUUAAACAAAUAAUUUUCCUAGCAUUUAUAUACUUUUACAAAUCUACUCAAUAAGACUGCUUGACUCGUUGAAUUUUGAUUUUACACAAUUAAUUUAAUAUAUUUUAAAAUAUAUUUAAAUUAAUAUUUAAAUAUAAUUCAAGAAUCAUAUUGACUAAUAAAUUUAUGAAUUAAUGUGCCACAUGCUCAAUCCAUAAUGAGUGAGCAAUCGUUUCAAAUCAGUAAUACUAAUAAUCAUAUUAUAACUUUUAUAUCUGAGAGCUAAUUAAGCGAAAAAGUGGGAAAAAAACUCACAUAUAAAUAUUAAGGAAAUCUGGAAAACAUACCUCUACUAGGUGCAUCAACGAAGUAACCCUCUAUAGAAGUGCCACGGAGAAUUAAGGCCGUGUUGCUUCGUAUAUAUAAGCUAAUCCCAUACAUCAACCCCAAGAACAACGAUCCCACUCUGGAUUACGCAAACAAAAGAUAAACACUAAAAUUACGAAUAAAUAUAAACAAUACUAAGUUCCAUUGAAAAAAAAAUAAGAAAAGUGCUCACACGUGAGAAACUGAGUUCCAUUGCUGCCAACCAUCAUCACCAACCUUAGCAUCAUUAGGAAAGUACCAUUUGAAUUGGGUGCCCUUCAACAACCUUUGGUAAAUAUCAAAAGUAGAGACGCCAGUGAUAUCGGAAGGCGUAAUUGGAACCAAUGCUUCAAAUGUGCAUGAAGGAUGGAAAUCAGAGGGCGCAGCUUCAGUAUGCAAAAAAUAAAAGUAACCAUUAGCUGCAUCUGAAGGAGAAGUAGAGCAACGAGAAGCAUCGAUGUAAUUAGCCGAAGAGUUUAUCAUCUUGGUCUUGCAAUUUACCACAUAAAUCUCUCCACGAUCAUUCAUAUCAGCUCUAUUUAGGCCUAGUACCCCUAAAGAUGGGUUCAGCCAGGGGGAGGAACUAUGAGGAACGGAGCAGUUAUCAUCCCCUAGACUCGCAUCCACGAGCAGAAUAGUUUGGUUGACAUAAGAGAUGUGUUUAAUAAGGAAAUUCCCUUUUUUCAUAGGGAAAAUGGUGCGGUUAUUCUCACACACUAGCUCUCCCCCAUUAAAAUUAGGACCACAGCUAUGGGAUUGGGUUCUUAAUCCAAAAGGGAAACUGAUGUUAAGGUUUCCACAGAAAGUAGAGCCACAAUGCUUGUCUCCUAUGCCUCUACAACAUGAAGGCCAAAGUGAGAUAACAAAGCAAGGAGUAGGGGGCAAAAUGAUGCAAGUUUUUGUCUUAGCAUCCCUAAUAUAGCUUAACUAGUUUCAGUUCAAUUUGAGAGAUGGAGAUUUAAUAAACAACAAAGAUUAAAUAUGACUUUAUCACCAAAAACCCAAUAAUUAAUUAAUUAAUAGAAUGAAUUUUAUUUUACAAUUGGGUUCAUUUGACUGAGUGGAUAGGGGGUGGCUUCUACUAUACAAGUCAACGGCACACCACCCACGACUAAAACCAAAAGAUUGCUGCUGUUUGUUUUUUUGGUCGAAUUCAAGAGUUUGACUUUGACUAUAUGCUAUUAUUGUUUUUUUUCUAACACCGAAAUUAUUGUUAUUAGAAUGUUGACUUGGUUGAUGUUGAUUUACACCUAACCUAAGCCCUCCCUUAUGGACAUAAUUGUAAUUUUAUUUUAGUUUCUUUUUCUUGAUAAUAUUAUUUGAAUUUUAUGCUAAAUUUUGUCUCCUUUUAAUUACAAUACAUAUUUCAUUAAAUCAAAAUAAACACAGUACUAUGGACAGUAGUUGAGCUGCUGUCCAUUGCUUGGGAGAAGGUUUUCUAGAAAGUGGCUAUCGAAUAUGACAACAGAACUGAGAUCAAUAUGCUAACUGAUGAUACAGUGGGCGUGAACAAUUUGCCACUGUAAGAACUGUCAAACAACCAUGCAAGAAAUUUAACAACAAAGAUUAAAUUAAACAAAAAAUAAAUAUUUUAUCUAUGUAAUUAUUUUAUAAUUGAAAUUUUGAGUUUAGAUGAGAUUGAAGAAGAAUUCCUACUAAGGUAUAAAAUAGCAGACGUUUACACAUAAAUAAAUAUUGGUCUACAUUUCACAUAUUAAUUUUAGGAGAGUCUUGUCUAUUUAUCUUCAUAGCCAUUCCAGGGCAGCAAACGAAAGCAAAUUACCCUUUGAAAUAUUACACAACUUGCAUUACGCACAGUCUCGUGUCUGUUUAAUUCUUAUUCACUAUCAUUACAUGACAUGUCCACAGAAAAUAUCAAAGACUUCGGAGGUAUCUCAAGGAGCUCGUCUUCACUUUCAAGCAUCUUCAAUACUUUGGUCAUUGAAGGACGAUGUAUGGGCUUCGUUUGUAUGCACCAGAAAGCAACCAUUAUCAUUUUUCUCAUGAUGCUGUUUUCACUUUCUGUCAUGUCUUCAAGCUCUAUGUUCUCCCCUAGUUGAAGUCUAUCAUAAACCCAUGUAGGAAAAUAAACUUGACUUGAAUGCUCGGCAGAAGCGUUUAAAUUUUUUCUCUUUCCCACAAUUUCCAUUAGCAUCAUUCCAAAACUAUAAACAUCAGCUUUAUACGAGAUACCUCCAAUACUUUUAUAAAAUAAUUCAGAAGCCAUAUAUCCAAAUGUACCAUGUGCUGCUGUGAGAGAAAUAAUACUGUUAUUCACUGGAUACAAUUUUGCUAGACCAAAAUCUGAAACUUUUGGAUUAAAGUUGUCAUCUAAAAGAAUGUUAUGUGGCUUGAUAUCAAAAUGUAAAAUCUUCAUGGCACAACCAUUAUGUAAAUAUUCAAUACCUAGACCCACGCCAACUACUAUCUCAAACAUCUUUUCCCAACUCAAACUGCUACUUCCUGAUGAAAAUAUAAAUUUGUCUAAAGACCCAUUUAUCAUGAAAUCAUAAACAAGAGCUUGUUUUUUCCUCUCCACGCAAAAUCCAAUAAGUUGCACUACAUUCACAUGAUGAAUCCUUCCAAUAGUUGUAACUUCAUUGAUAAAAUCUUGGCCAUUACCUUUUGAUUCCUUUAGCAAUUUUACUGCAACGAGUUUGCCACUUUGAAGUUUGCCUUUAAACACAGUGCCGAAACCUCCCUAGCCUAAUUUAUUCUUGAAACCUCCUGUUAUUUUUUUUAUUUCAGCAUACGAAUACCUUAUCGGCAUAAAAUUCUUUUGACUUUGAAGAAAGUUUUCAAUCGCAUCAUCCACCGACAAAUGUCUUCUUCUUAAUUUACGUAUAAUAAGAACAGUCAAACAAGAUAUCCCCAAAAGUGUCCGAACUAAUAUAAUCCCUGUUUUCAAAGAAAAAUAAGUAAAAGAAUCAAACCACAAUUCUGAAAUAUGUAUAUAUUAUUUAUUAAUUCUUCGUAAUUUCUUGAAUCUUUAAUUUACUUUUUACUUUCAAACUUUCAUUUUCUAUUGAAAGAAGAAACUGUUGCGGAAAGGAUCGAUUCGAGAACUCCGAUAUGACUACAAGUAAAUUGACCGAAACGAAAAAUAAAGUGAACACAAGGAUUUACGUGGUUCGGCUUUAAUGCCUACGUCCACGGGCAGAGGCGAAAAGAAAUUUCACUAUAACAAGAUGAAGAUUACAAGUGUUUUACACUCAAGACACAACCCGAGAACCUCACAACUCUCAACCCCUAUAGAAAACCCGAAAGCUAAAAUCCUAGCUUUCAAAGAACAAGCUUUGCUCUCUCUUGGUUUGGGAUGAUUAAUAUGGCUAAUGAACCUCUCUAUUUAUAAGAGAGUUCAAGGACAUAAUUGUCCAAAACUUUGGCAAAGAUUUGUGGUUGAAAAUGGACACCAACAACCAUCCACUAAUCCACUACCACCAACAACCCACUACCAACAACAACAAUCCACUACCAAUUUAAAGCCAUUUCUUAACAAAUCUCCACCUUGGCUUGAAAUUUACCAAGCUGAACAUCAUAGUGAAUUCCUCGAACUGGAUCACCUCUUCCAAACGCCUCUCUGGCGCUAAUCAAUCCCGAAUACCUAUCAAGUCCAAGCAAUGCUUGAACUUAUAUGCAGGGAUCACCUUAGUUAACAUAUCUGCAGGAUUCUUCUCGGUAGCAACCUUGCUGAUAACAAUGUCACCUUGCGUAACAUGUUCCCGAACAAAAUGAUAUCUGACAUCAAUGUGUUUGGUCCGUUCAUGAAACAUCUGAUUUUUAGUCAGAUGUAUGGCACUCUGGCUAUCGCAAAAUACAACAGUGAAAUCCUGUUGUAAACCCAAACUGCUUACUAGACCUUUCAUCCACAAUGCUUCUUUCACUGCUUCUGCUAACGCCAUAUAUUCCGCCUCAGUCGUAGAUAAGGCUACGGUAGACUGUAACACAGCUUUCCAACUAAUGGCUCCUCCAGAAUAAGUGAAAACAUAACCCGUCAGAGAUCUUCUUUUGUCCAGAUCUCCAGCAUAAUCAGAGUCCACAUAGCCCGUGACACUGCUAGUGCAGUCACUCUGAUCAUAUACCAAGCAUAAAUCUGCAGAACCUCUCAAGUACCUGAGAAUCCAUUUCACGGCCUGCCAGUGUUCCUUGCCAGGACAACUCAUGUAUCUGCUGACCACACUAACUGCAUGUGAAAUGUCUGGACGAGUGCAAACCAUUGCAUACAUCACGCUUCCAACUGCACUCGAGUAUGGAAUGUGAGACAUUUGCUGCUUUUCUUCAUCAGAUUGUGGUGACAACUCUGCAGAGAGUUUGAAAUGUGGUGCCAACGGAGUACUCACAGUUUUCGCUUUAUCCAUGCCGAAGCGUUGAAGAACCUUUUCAAUGUAGUUCUUCUGCGACACACGAAGCUUGCCCGCCUUGCGAUCUCUGUGAAUAUCCAUGCCCAAAAUUUUCUUGGCAGCACCCAGAUCCUUCAUCUCGAACUCACCACUCAACUGCGACUUUAACUUGUUGAUUUCCGACAUGUUUUUGGAAGCAAUUAACAUGUCAUCAACAUACAGCAACAAAUAAAUGUGCGAACCAUCUGAGAGCUUCCGAUGAUAGACACAAGCAUCAUAGUCACAUCUUGUGUAACCAUGCUGAAUCAUGAAGCUAUCAAACCGCUUGUACCACUGCCUUGGGGAUUGUUUCAAUCCAUAUAAAGACUUCUUUAAUAGACAGACAUGGUCUUCUUUACCAGGAACUGUAAAACCCUCUGGUUGACGCAUGUAGAUUGUUUCCUCGAGCUCACCAUGCAAGAACGCCGUUUUUACGUCAAGCUGCUCAAGUUCUAGAUCAGACUUGGCCACCAUGGCAAGUAAUACACGAAUGGAAGAAUGCUUUACGACUGGGGAGAAAACUUCAUUGUAGUCAAUCCCCUCUUUCUGAGUGAAGCCUUUAGCAACCAAUCGUGCCUUGAAUCUAGUUGCUUCAACCCCUAGGAUGCCUUCCUUUUUCUUGAAGACCCAUUUGCAACCAACUAUCUUCUGGUUACUUGGCGGCUUAACCAACUCCCAAGUAUGGUUCUUGUGAAGAGAUUCUAUCUCCUCACUCAUAGCAAUUGCCCACUGUGCCGACUCAUCACACGUGACAGCCUCAUUAUAACUGGAAGGUUCUAUACCAAUGGACUCCGCCACACUGAGCGCGAAAGACACCAGAUUAGCGUAACGCGGAUUUGGUUUGAUUUGUCUCUUCGUUCUUCCAGUGGCAAUGCUAUAUGGUUUUUCUUGAGGUGACUCAUCUUCAUCGGAAUCUUGCACCUCAACUUGAUCAUCCUGGACUGAAGUACCUUCCGUAGGAAUUGGAGCGUCCACCUGACACUCCACCUGCUUCUCAACACCGUGAUCUCCCAUUCUAUCUGACUCCUCCUUUUCCCGGGAAUUUGUGGUGGAUCGAAGCAUGGAUGACUCAUCAAAAGUCACAUCUCUGCUGAUGAUGAACUUGGACGAAACCGGAUCAGGACACCACAACCUGUAUCCUUUCACCCCUUGGCCGUAUCCAAGAAAUAUGCAUUUCUUCGCCCUCGGUUUGAGUUUUCCCUCAUUUACAUGAGCAUACGCAGGGCAGCCAAACACUCUUAAACCAGAGUAAUCAGCAGGAGAACCAGACCAUACUUCCUCAGGAGUCUUCAGCUCAAUAGCUGUUGACGGAGAUCUGUUAACCAAAUAACAAGCAGUAUUAACAGCUUCAGCCCAAAAUUCUUCACCGAGCCCAGCAUUUGAUCGCAUGCAACGAGCUCGCUCCAAGAGAGUUCUAUUCAUGCGUUCUGCAACUCCAUUUUGUUGUGGUGUUCGACGAACAGUGCGGUGUCUCACUAUUCCUUCAUUUUUGCAGAACUCAUUGAAUUCACCUGAGCAAAACUCCAAGCCAUUAUCCGUCCGGAAUCGCUUGAUCUUCUUUCCUGUUUGAUUUUCGAUCAAAGCUUUAAAUUGCUUGAAGUUGAUGAGAACCUCAUACUUGCUCUUCAGAAAAUACACCCAAACCUUUCUCGAGUAAUCAUCGAUAAAGGUAAGCAGAUAUCUGUAACCACCUUUAGAAAUUGUCGGAGAAGGCCCCCAAAGGUCAGAAUGGAAGUAAUCCACUGUGCCUUUUGUCUUGUGAAUCCCAGUGCUGAACUUUACCCGAGUCUGCUUACCGAAGACGCAGUGCUCACAGAAAUUCAACUUUCCUGUACACUGCCCAGACAAUAAUCCUCGUUUGCUUAGCACCGAUAAGCCUCUCUCGCUCAUAUGCCCGAGCCGCAUAUGCCAUAACUUCGUGGUGUCAGAAUCUAGAUCAUCUGAUGAUGACACUCCCGCAACACCUGUAACCGAGGAACCAUCGAGGAAGUAAAGGCCCCGCUCCAAAUUACCACGUAUCACAGUCAAAGCACCCGAGAAUACCUUGAGAACUCCACCUUCAGCAGAGUACCGAAAGCCUUUCUUGUCCAACGUACUCAAAGAGAUCAAAUUUUUCUUCAUUUCUGGAAUGUGCCGAACAUCAGUUAGAGUUCUAACAAUACCGUCAAACAUCUUUAUACGAACUGUGCCAAUCCCCAUGACUUGACAUGCGUGGUCAUUUCCCAUUAGUACUGAACCAGAAUGCUUCUCGUAUGUUGAGAAUGCAUCUUUCGAAGUACUUAUAUGAAAUGUAGCUCCCGUAUCAAGAAUCCAUCUCCCACCAGCGUAAGAGUCGGAUACUGCAAGAACGAUCUCGGCAUCACUUGAAGAAUCUGCAUCAGCUACAUUCGCACGAUCAUUUUGUUGCUCCUGUGAUUCUGAUUUCUCCUUCCUUUUCGGACAAUCUACCUUCAUGUGCCCGUACUUCUUACAGUAGUAGCACUGUAUUCUCUUCUUGGACUGCGAUCUAGGAUGGCUUUUACUUGAACUUCCACCCUUUGCCUUGGAUCUUCCUCGAGCAACCAAGCCUUCGCCUUCAUUGUUUUCGACCACCUUACCAGUGAUUUUCUUCCUCAACUCACUGGAACUUAAGGCAUUUUUCACCUCCUCUAGAGUCAGGUCAUCACGACCGUACAUCAUUGUAUCAACAAAAUUCUCAUACGAGGGAGGCAAAGAACACAAAACAAUUAUUGCUUGGUCCUCAUCAUCGAUUUUGUUAUCGAUAUUAUUCAAAUCCAUGAUAAUGGAAUUGAAUUUAUCCAGGUGCUGGGAAACAGGUGUACCUUCCUCCAUCUUCAGGGCAUAGAGUCUUUGCUUGAGGUAGAGCCGGUUCGUCAAUGACUUCGUCAUGUACUUGCUCUCUAACCGGAGCCACAAACCGGACGCGGUUUUCUCAUCCGCUACUUCUCGUAGCACUUCAUCUCCUAGACAUAGCAGAAUAGCACUAUGUGCUCUUUCUAGCAUGUCAUCCUUUUGCUCUUCCGAAAGCGUGCUUGGUAAUUUAUCUUUACCAGACAAUGCUUUUAGCAAUCCUUGUUGAACCAGCACUGCCCGCAUCUUGAUGCGCCAUAAACUGAAACUAUUUUUCCCGGUAAAUUUCUCGACAUCAUACUUAGUCGAUGAAACACUUGUAGCCAUAAUUUGGAACCUUUGAAUGAAUGAUAAUAUUUUCUUCCUGAUGUGAAAGAUCAGACAAAGCUGCAGUCACAGGGCAAUUCAGAAAAUAUUAUCACUCCUUCAACUACGCUCUGAUACCAAUUUGUUGCGGAAAGGAUCGAUUCGAGAACUCCGAUAUGACUACAAGUAAAUUGACCGAAACGAAAAAUAAAGUGAACACAAGGAUUUACGUGGUUCGGCUUUAAUGCCUACGUCCACGGGCAGAGGCGAAAAGAAAUUUCACUAUAACAAGAUGAAGAUUACAAGUGUUUUACACUCAAGACACAACCCGAGAACCUCACAACUCUCAACCCCUAUAGAAAACCCGAAAGCUAAAAUCCUAGCUUUCAAAGAACAAGCUUUGCUCUCUCUUGGUUUGGGAUGAUUAAUAUGGCUAAUGAACCUCUCUAUUUAUAAGAGAGUUCAAGGACAUAAUUGUCCAAAACUUUGGCAAAGAUUUGUGGUUGAAAAUGGACACCAACAACCAUCCACUAAUCCACUACCACCAACAACCCACUACCAACAACAACAAUCCACUACCAAUUUAAAGCCAUUUCUUAACAGAAACAGUUGAUGAAGCCUAAUUUAAGCAAUGUGCAAAUGCUCUAUUUUUCCAAAACAAACUCCAAAGCAUAGUUUUUAUUUUGACCAUAGUAUAAAAAGUGUACCCAGUUAUAAAUACCUGUUAUUGUAACAAAAAAAAUCUGUAUUCCUGUUAAAAGGCAAAUAAAAAAAUGGAAUUAUUAGUUGAAUGGAUAGUAGGAACUAGGAAAGCAAAAGAGAAAUUCAUUACUUAAAAAAUAUAUAAGUAAAUAAAUUUUUUUUAUAUAAAACUACACAAAGAUUAUAUACUGAUUCAAAGUACCUUUACUAGGUGGAGAAGUAGCAGGUGGGAGGACAAGAGCCAUCAUGCUUUCUGCAUAUAGUAAAAGCAGACCAACUAACACCCAGAACAACGAUUGUAGUCUGGAAUAUUGAACAAAACACAUUAAAAUUUUUUUGGUUAAUCAGUGCUCCAUAAGACAAUGAAUUAAUAGGACAUAUUAGCAAUUAUGUUGUUGUAGACCAAAUUUUAAUUUGAUUUAUAUAUUAUUGUUGCAAUCAUUCAGAAGAUGCAAGUUUAAAUAUGGGAUUUAAUUUAAGCAUAAUAUAAAAAAUAUAUAUUUAUUAAAAGAAAAACAAAAGGAGGCUAUGUGAUUGUGAAUACUAAAAAAAGAAUACUUACGCGUUAACAACUGAGCCCCAAUGCAGUUUAGAUUGAAGACUCCAUGUAAUUUGGGUGCCCAUCCUCAGCCUUCUGUAAAUAUCAAAAGUACAGAGGCCAUUUAUGUUUUGAAGACUGAUGGGAACCAGGGCUUCAACAGUGCAAGAGGGAUGGAAAGCAGAGUGUGCAGUUCCUCCAUCCAAAAAAUAAAAGUAAUUCUUAUUUGUUGGGGGACAAGAAGAGCAACGACAAGCAUUGAUGUAGUUAGCCCCACUCCACGACUUAUUCAUCUUCGUACUGCAGUUCAUGACAAACAUCUCUUCAUAUGUAAAUGUAUCGAAUUCAAACUCAGUAUCAAGAUAUGUAUAAGAUGUUGCUCCUAUUUGAGGGAAUUUUCUACUUGUAGGGGAGCCGAAAGGAAGGGAACUAAGAGGAAUAGAGCAGUCAUCUUUGUCCACAUUCACAUCAACAAUAUGAAUAGUUUGGUUAUCAUAAAAGAUGUGUUGGACAUAAAAGUUCCCUCGAUCCAUAGGGAAGAUGGCAUGGUUAUUGUCGCACAGCAGCUCAAAUCUCUUAAGACCACAGCUUUGAGGCUCGGUUGUUAAUCGAAAAGGGUAACGGAUGCUAAGAUUUCCACACAGAGUAAAUCCACAAGGCGUGUUUAUGCUUCUAGCGGUAGAAGCAUGAGGAAAGGAAGAUAAAGCAAGGGCUAACAGGCAAAGUAAUAGAAGUUUUGGUGUUGCCAUCCUAAAGUUUCAGUGGGAGAGACGGAAGAAUUUAAUACAGGCUUUUAAGAACAAAGAUUAAAUAAAACUAAAUAUGUAUUGUCUCUGCAAUUGCUUUAUAAAUGAGAAUUUGAAUCUCAAUCGACUUGAAAGAUACUAAAGAAAAAUGUAUAAACUAACAAUAACGGGUUUAAGAACAAAAAAAUGAAUUUGAUGAGCACUUAAAUAAGACAUAUAUUAUAUAUUUAUUUUGAGUAAUCUUAAAGUCAUUUUAAGGCUGCAAUUGAAAGCAAAUUCUCCUUCUAAACGGUGCAUAACUUGCAAUACAUAAUAUUAAUUCAAUAAUCAUUCAUCAUUACAGGACAUGUCCACAGAAAAUAGAAAAGACUUGGGAGGUAUUUCAAGGAGCUCUUCUUCACUUUCAAGCAUCUUCAAAACUUUGGCCAUUGUAGGACGAUGUAUGGGCUUCGUCUGUAUGCACCAAAAUGCAACGAUUAUCAUUUUCCUCACAAUUUUAUUUACAUUUUCUGUCAUGUUUUCAAGCUCUAUGUUCUCUCCUAAUUCAAAUUGAUGAUAAAUCCAUAACGGAAAAUAAAUUUGACUUGAAUUGUCAGCAGAAGUAUUCAGAUUUUUCCUCCUUCCCACAAUUUCCAUUAACAUCAUUCCAAAGCUAUAAACAUCAGCUUUAUACGAGAUACCACCAAGAUUUUUAUAAAAUAAUUCAGGCGCCAUAUAUCCUAGUGUACCUCGUGCUGCUGUGAGAGAAAUAAUGCUAUCAUCCACUGAAUGCAACUUUGCAAGGCCAAAAUCUGAAAGUUUUGGAUUGAAGUUUUCAUCUAAUAGAAUGUUAUGUGGCUUGAUGUCAAAAUGUAAAAUCUUCAUAGCACAACCAUUAUGUAAAUAUUCAAUACCUCGACCAACUCCAACUGCUAUCUCAAACAUCUUCUGCCAACUCAAGCUGCUAUUUGUUGAAAAUAUAAAUUUGUCUAAAGACCCAUUUGUCAUGAAAUCAUAGACAAGAGCUUGUUUUUCCCCCUCCACACAAAAUCCAACAAGUUCCACCACAUUCACAUGAUAAAUUCUUCCGAUAGUUGCAACUUCAUUGAUAAAAUCUUGGCCAUUACCUUUCGAUUCCUUUAGCAAUUUUACCGCAACAAAUUUACCGCUUCGAAGUUUGCCUUUAAACACAGUACCAUAACCUCCCUCACCUAAUUUAUCCUUGAAAUCUCCUGUUAUUUUCUUUAAUUCAGCAUAUGAAUAUCGUAUAGGCAUAAAAUUUAUUUGACUUUGAAGAAAGUUCUCAAUCGCAUCAUCUACCGACAAAUGUCUUCUUCUUAAUUUGUAUAUAACAAGAGCAAUAAAGCAACAUAUCCCCAAAAAUGUCCUUAUCAGAAACAUCCCUGUUUUUCAAGAAAAAAAAAAAUCAAGCAACACCAUAAUUCUAUACGUAGUUUUUACUGUUCAUACCAUAAAGGUUUUGUGCUUUUCAAUUUGUUUCAUUUUAUAUCUAUUUUUACUUUUAAACUUUUUCUUUAUAUAAAAGUGAGACAAAUAUAAACGUGAUGGAGACUAAUUAAGCAAUUCAUUAGUAUCAUAGAAGUACAGAACUGCGUACCUGUUAUUGCAAGGAAAGGAAUUUGGAUGACUGUUAAAAGACAUACAAGAAAUAUGUGUUACAUGAAUGUCUGGUAGGAAAGUAAAGGCAAAUCCAUUAAUAAAAAAAUAUAUGUAUUAGUUAGAAGGAAUAAUGUCAAUAACCAUGUGAUCUGUUUGUAUAGUGUUAAACUAUUAAUCUUAAUUAUGAAAGAUUAACCUUGGUUAUUUGAACUAAUAUUCAGCAUGUUACAAAAGGUGCCAAUAAGGAUGGGGAUAAGGCAAUUUUGUCUACAUUAGUUUUAGACCUCGAUAGCUUUUCCUAAUUUGGUUUCAAAACUGUUCCCCAACUUAACCAUUCAUAUGGAAUGAGAUUUGAUUUUUUUUUUUAAUGUUUUUGUUUCUUGAGAUAUUUUCAAAAUUGGUCUCUCAAAUUUUAUCAGACUUUUAAUUUAACCCUAUCUUUUUUUUUUAAUUUAGUGGAACGUUUGUCUUUUUAAUUUUUUGCAGAAUAGGCCCCUCAACUUUUUUCAGGCUUAAUUUGUUUUUGUAAGGAAUUAUUAUUCCAAUUUGAACUCAUUACAAAGAUUAUAAUUAUAAGUAUAAAAAUUUACUUAUAACCUUUUUUAAAAUAUACAUCUAUUUAUUUUUCAUUGAAAUGAUUAUUAAUCUUAUAAUUGCUAUAAAAAUGUACUUACACUAAUUUUUAAAAUAAUUCUAAGCCCGGACCGACUUAAAAAAUAGGCCUUAAAUUUUACCGAAGCCCAGUCCAAAUAAGAAUGCUAAAACCUAAUCCUGACCUGUAUUUAAAAUUUUUAUAUAAAAAAUUAAAAAAUAUAAUAAAAUAAAUACACUAAAAACAUUAAAAUAAAUAUUUCUCAACAAAUUGAAAAUAAAUUAACAAUAAAAUAAAAGUUAUAUAAUAUCCAAAUAAUAAUAAUAACAUAGUAGCACUGUAAUAGUGAAAUUAGAGACAAAUUUAAGGGGCUGGCAGGGGCCCGGCCCCCCCUAAAAUGUAAAAUUGCUAUUUAGGCCAAAAAAGUUUAAAUAGUAAAGGUAAAAUUACACUUUACCUCCUAAAAUUAUAAAAAUUCGAUUUAAUCCUUUAAAAAUUAUAAAGAUAUAGACUACAAAAAAUUAAAAUUUUAUUCGACCCCUUUAAAAAUUUAUUUUGGCUUCACCCCUGAGUGAAAUGACAGUAAAAUAGAGACAAAACAGCAAAAACAACAACAUUUUUUCUUUUGCAAAUUUAGGAACAGCAGCAGUUUAUCUUUCACAAAUUUGGGUUGAGCCAAAAAAGUUUACCCAAAGUAUGACCCGUUUAGAAAAUGUAUCUUAUUUUUUUAUUCAUGCCCAUUUUUUAAGCUUAUAUGUUUUUACGAAUUCUCCCACUUUUUGGAUGGAUUUUUAGGACGGGUCAUAUGACCUGAUGCAUGAUAAGUGUACAUACAACUAGAAAUAGGAAUGUACAGGAAGACCAAAAAAUUUAAACAAAUUUCUGAGGAUCUUCUUUGUUGUUUAACUAUUAACGUACUAAUAAUUUCAUAACGUAGGAUCGUGAACGAGUUGGAGAAAGCAGUAGGCAGAAAUAGAAAUUCACUCACACAGCUGGGUCGAAGAGUUUUGCUUCUAUAGCUGAGGCCAAGGUAUUUUAAAUUUCUUAAUACUGUCAAAUAUUUAUUACUUUCUAUUAAAUAAUAUUUUUACUACUAUAUUGUAGGAACUAUCGUCCGGUCAAAAAGUUUGACGCCUUCAACUUUUUGACAUUAAGCAUAGGAAGAAAGAUGGAUCUCCUAUGACUCCUGAAGCUGCAGAAAUUAUGGUACAUUUGCUUAAUACAAUUUGACUUGUUUUAAUUAUUUAUAGUGUUUAUUUUCUAAUAGUUUAUUUCAUUGUUUGUAAUGCAAAUAUUGUUAAGUUAUGUUGCAUUUGUUUUUUUAAUAUAUAUUGCGUUCCUAACUAUGUGAUUUAUUUCUUAGAAAAACUAAAGGAUAAAAAGGCGGAGUACUAAGUGAUUGCUUCUAGUGAUAGUUCUGUUCAUAUUGACGACAUUGAUAACCGGAUUAUCACUGAAGUUUUGGGUCCUAAAGGGUAUGGUCGAGUUCGAUUUCAAGGAUCUCCCGACCUAAUAUUUUGGAUCCAGCUCGCAACAAUACAUGCCUUCGGGGAGUCAGGUUCAAGCUGAAGUUCAAAGGUUAAGAGACCAGAUGGCUUAGAUGCAAGCGACAACAGUUGAGCAAAUUACACAACUUAAAGCGGAGGCAGCAUCGAGAGAAGCUGAGGUUCAAAGGAAGUAUGAAGAACUCCAGCUGCAGCUUAAAGCAGAUGCGGCAGUGAGGGAAGCAGCGACCGCAGCAAGGGAAGCAGAGCAGAGCAGAAAGUACGACGAACUCCAACAACAGCUUCAGAAUAUGAUAAAGAUGUUUCAGCAGUUGCAACAGCCGCCGUCUUAGACUAUCGUGUAAAUAUUUUUAUCAUUUUAACUUUUAACAUUUUUGUAAGAAUAAUAUGAAUUAUAUUUUAUUUAUUGAUAUUUAUUAUAUACUAUUCAUUUUAUUUUAAAUAUUAUAUAGAUUUAUUGCUUUUGAUUGGUUUAGAUUUGGUUUCUUCUGAUUUACUGUUACAGGAGGGCUCAAAAUAUAAAAAAUUAGCUUUUACAAAUCUACCAAAAUUAGUGGCGUUUUUAAAAAAAGCGCCACUAAAAUGUCAUGGUCUUUAGCGGCGUUUGUGGGAAAAGCGCUGCUAAAGCUCAUGGUCUUUAGCGGCGUUUGUGGGAAAAGUGCCGCUAAAGGUCAUGGUCUUUCGCUACGUUUGUGGAGAAGCGCCGCUAAAGGUCACGGUCUUUAGCGGCGUUUAUUUCUAAAAACGCCGCAAAAGUUAGCGAUGCUGUCAAUAGCGGCGUUUUUUGCUGCUCUUCUAAAAGCGCCGCUAAAGGCCUAAAAAAGCGUCGCUAAAAACCUAUUUUGGUGUAGUGUGUGUACAAAGUAUUAAUUUUGUCUUAUUAUUAUUAUUUUAAGUUUGGUUUUGAAUUUUAUAGCCUAAUUUAAUCUAAGGUUUUUAUUCUGGAACGGGAUAUUAAAAUGUUAAAAAAAAAAUUCAAUUUUAUGAAGAAGUUAUUAUAACGAAUUCUCACUGAAUUUAGCAAAAUCUUAAAGCAAUAAUACAUACCAAUUAUGGGUUCGCCGGUGAGAAAAAGGAACACGUAGGCUAGUAUACAUAUAGCCACAAACGCCAACAGCCGUAAGAACGAUAGCAGUCUGGAAUAUACAACGUAACACAUAAUUAACGAAAUGGUUAAUCAGUCCUUAAAAAUUAAAACCAUAAAAAUAAAGUAUAGAAAUCCUCACGUGUUAACAACGGAGCUCCAAUCAAGUAUGACAAUAUUGAUAAGCCGAAGGUCCCAUUUAAUUCGGGUGCCCAUCAUCAGCUUUUUGUAAAUAUCAAAAGUGGAAAGUCCAUUGAUAUUAUGAACACUGAUCGGAACCCUGGCUUCCACAGUGCAUGCAGGAUGCAAACCAGACGGUGGAGUUCCUCCAUCCAUAAAAUAAUAGAAAUUAUUAUUAGUUUGCGGAGAGGAAGAACAACGAGAAGCAUUUAUGUAAUUAACACCAUGCCAAGACUUGUUCAUCUUCAUACUGCAAUUCACCAUAUAUAACUUGCUAUACUCGCUAUAGUUAUAUCGAUAAAAAGCAACAUCAUUUUGUAUGGUGAUGUUAAACUCGGGAGGUAAAGGAAGGGAACUGAGAGGAAUAGAGCAGUUAUGGUUGGCCACAUUCACAUCUAGCAGAUGAAUAGUUUUGUUAACAUAAGAGAUGUUUUGGACAUAGAAAUCCCCAUCUUCCAUAGGGAAGAUGGUGCGGUUGUUGUUGCAAACCAGCUCAAACCACAUAAAACCACAGCCUUGAGGCUGGGAUUUUAAUCGAAAAGGGUAACUGACGCUAAGGUUUCCACACGAAGUAACUCCACAAUGCUUGUUUAUGCUUCGAGCGGUGGAAGCAUGAGGAAAGAGAGAUAAAGCUAGUGCCAACAGGCAAACUAAUGCAAGUUUUGGUCUUACCAUCCUAAAAGUUUCAGGGGGAGAGAGAGAGGAGAUUUUAGUUUAAUUUAAUACAGGCUAACCAGUCUCUUAACAGUUUCUGCAAUUUUUCACUCUCCAAAACCACGUCUUUCUUUCCCAAAUUUAAAGAAAGAAAAAAAAAGGAGUAGAUAACUAAUUGGAAACCAUACAACAAUACGAAAUCCAAUAAUAAUUUUUCCACACCAUCAAUUUCGGUAAGGAAAAGAAAAGCGGGACGCAAGAAUUGAUGGCGAAAAUGAUAAGAGAAAAAGACAUCUUUAUAAUUCACCACUUGAUGUUUUCCUUAAUAUCGGGAGAGGAAUAAAAAGAACUUUGAAAUUUCAAUCAACUGGAGUCUACAGCAUCACACGGAAACCGUACGAGAAUAAAUUUUAAUCGGUAAAAGUUACAUAGACACAAUUGUAUUAAGAGUUAAAUUAUAUUUUAUUCUUUUUAUUAAAAAAAAGAAAAGUAAUUUAUAUAUAUUAAAUUAAAAAAUAAAUUGGUCAUUCUGUUAAAAUUUUUAUCCAUUUCUAUUGAUAAAAACUAUUAGUUGUACAUAUCAUGUGGUACAUAUGGCUCGCCUGCAUCACUGUUUGGUUAUUCUGUCGAUCACACCAGGCUUUAAUAGUACAAAUCGAUAAAAUUUUUAACAGAAGUGACUAAUUUUUUCUUUAAUCUAACGUAUAGGACUAAUUUAUUCAUGUUUUAGUAGAAAGUACAAAAUACAAUUUGAAUCCUAAUGGUAUACGAGCCUCCAUGAUAUUUUUACCAUUUUGAUACAAUUAAUUUAUCAACUUUUUUUACCGGUACAAGAAUUAUUACAAGUUGGGAAAACAAUGGAAUUUUUGGUUUAUCUUGAUUGUUCUGUAACCACUCAUUCCAUGGGUGAGAAGUCAGUCAACGAAAGCAAAUAGUAGUGUCAAUUUCAUUACAAAAAAAUACUCAAGUCCGAACAAUUGGGAUGUUAUCAUUAACUACAAAACUGAAUUCAUGAUUUAAAAUUUCUACUUACACAAAUUGACCCCACAAUCCUUAAACGAGUGAUUUCAGGGAACUCAGCCUAUGGUUAGUACCAUUAUCCAAAGAAUGAAUGACACAAGUGGGAUCUUCAUCGAAUUGCAAGAAGUAAGGGAAGUGGCAGCAAUUGCAACACGAGAACACUAAACAAGACAUAUAUAGUAUAGGUAAUAAUUAUUUUGAGCCUGCAAAUGAAAGCUAAUCCUCCUUUGAAACAUUAUAUAACUUUCAUUACAUGUACUCCCAUGUCUAUUGAAUUCUUAUUUACUAUCAUUACUAGACAUGUCCAUAGGAAAUACUAAAGACUUAGGGAGGUAUUUUAAGGAGCUAAACUUCACUUUCAAGCAUCUUCAGUACUUUGGUCAUUGACGAAUGAUAUAUGGGCUUCGUUUGUAUGCACCAAAAGGCAACAAUUAUCAUUUCCCUCACAAUUUCGGUUUCAUUUUUUGUCAUGUCUCCAAACUCUACGUUCUCUUCUUCAAAUCAACCAUAAGUCCAUGAUGGAAAAUAAGUUUGACUUGAACGGUCAGUGUAAGCAUUCAAAAUUUUCCUCCUUCCCGCAAUCUCCAUUAACAUCAUUCCAAAGCUAUAAACAUUGGCUUUCUUCAAGAUACCUCCAAUAUUCUUAUAAAAUAACUUAGGAUCCAUAUAUCUUAUUGUUUCUCGUGCUACUGUGAGAGAAACGAUGAUGUCAUCCACUGAGUGUAACUUUUGUGAGACCAAAAUCUGAAACUUUUAAGGUAAAAUUGUUGUUUAAAAAAUAGUACGUGGCUUAAUAUCAAAAUGUAAAACAUGCAUCGUACAUCCAUUAUGUAAAUACUCAAUUCCUCGACCAAUUCCAAGUUCAAUCUCUAGUAUAAGUGAAUGAAUUUGUUGUUGUUCCUAUAUAAUUGCUUUAGUCUCAUCUUAAUAAGUUGCAUUUGAAUUAUAUUAACACUAUGGAAUAUUCAGUACUCAAUGUCAGUUAUGUUUGUCUCCGUGCGCAGGUCUUGAAUGUGUAUAGACUUAGAUUCUCAGGUCAAGCAUCUAACUAAAAGACUCAACUCGAGAUUCAACUUGUUACCUCUUUUGUAUGCAUUUAUGAAUUUGGGUUUUAUGGCAUGUACAUAGAGAAUUUUGGUGUCGAACUUGCAUUUUGACAUGUUUAGUAACUUGGUCUAUAUGGCUUAUAAAGUUGAGUUUUUUUCAUUGGUUAUUAGAUAAUUAGGGAAGUUCGCAUGAGUGUGUUUAUGUAAGAUAAUUAUUUUGGAUGUUGUGUUGGGUUAACAGGUCCAAUGUCACGACAUUCCCCAAUUGAAGUUGCAGCAAUAAAGAUCAAUCACCAAUGUGUGGUGCUGAGGUCCGCUGAUUUGAGGUUCACAAAUCAACUAGUGGUUCGCUAGUUGACUUACCAAAUACUCGUAAGCCAAAUGAGGUACGCUAGCUGGCUUAUCAGCUAUCUAUGGUUCGUUGUGACAUGUAGCUUGCUAAAAUGUGGACUCUAAUAGGAGGCAUGAGUCAGGUAUUCCUAAUUUUGCAUUGAAUACAUUUUCAACCUAAAUUUCCUUGGAUGAUUUUUGUUAAGUGAUAGUCACAAUUGUAGUUUUUUUGGCAACGUAACGUGAUGUCUUGCAUUCGAAUCUAACAAUUGGGUCGAAGGUGGCUGUCAUACAGGAGUUGCAGGAGGAGCCAAAAUAAUGCAAGUUUUGGUGUUGCCUUCGUGAACCGCUUUGGCAACGUAAUGUGAUGUCCCAUAUUCAAAGCUGAAGAGCGAGUCGAAGGUGGCUGUCACACAGAAUUUGCAGGAGGAGCCAAAAUAAUUCAAGUUUUGGUGUGGCCAUUACGAACCUUAAGUGUGAGUGGCAGAGAAAUGAGUUUUAUAUAACUAAGGACGUUUGUUUAAUUUAAUUCAGGCAAGGCAUUACUAAGGAGAUUAACUCUAUUCUUUUCAUCUUAUUAUUUCUGCAUUAAUACCUCCUGACUAUAAAAACACAAAAAGAAAGAGUCAACCAAUUAAAACUAAACCAUUAAAAUACUUCAACAAUGACCUGUCAUUGAGCAAUCAAAAAAUUGAUGGCGAAACUGACACAUAAAAUACUUGUUAUAUAAGUAAUCUAUAUGUGAAUCUUCCUUACCAUAAAAAACAAAAAGAAUAUCUUGCUUUGAAAAUUCAAUCAACUGGAGUCUAUAGCCUAAUAAGUAAAAUGGUCAAAUAUAUGGAUCCCAUUAUAAUAAUGAUACAUAUUGGAUUGUUGAAAUGUGGCAACACAGCAGCAACAUGCAAGUGACCAAGCAACAUAGCAGCAACAUGCAAAUGUCCAUGGUGUAAUUCGGUUGUAAAGCUUUUAUAAUAAUUGACUUUUGCUAGUUUGGUUGUAAUAUUUUUUGUUUGUUCAGCUAAGGAUUAAUCAUGUACUUAGCUCAUUUAGGUUGUCUUUAAGCUGAUUUAACAGCUUGGAUACUUGCACAACUAAGUUUUGUUUUUUACCAAUGUAAUUGAACUACUUAUGUAUAUGACAUUUUUUCUUAUUCAAGUAAUAAAGUUGAUCUUUUCUUCAUCAUCCAACAUUCGAAAUUUGCUUCUGUUUUUCAUCUUUCAAACACAAAUUUUUGUUUUUGAUCUUUAGCUAUUGAUUUAAACUCAACAAAUGGUAUCAAGAGCCAGUCAUCUUUGAGGGCCUUUGUUGUGUGUUGGUUUGUGUUGAUUCUUUGAAUGAUUCGUGCUUGAAAGAAAAAAAAUAGAAGCUAUCUUUGUUGGCUUGUUUAGUUGUUACAAAAGGAUGAGUUUUUCACCACUACCACCACCUAUUUUUGCUGGUGAAAAAUACAAUAUUUGGGUUGUGAAAAUGAAGACAUAUCUGUAGGCUCAUGAUAUGUGGAGUGUUGUUCUAACUGACACAACUACCACCUCUGAGAGCUAAUCCAACUAUAGCUCAAAUCAGGCAGCAAAAUAAGGACUGUGCCAAAAAGUAUAAGGCUACGUCAUGCCUUCAAAAUGGAGUUUCAGAUAUGAUCACAAGAAUAAUGGCUUGUGACACUCUAAAGCAGGCCUGGGACAGACUCAAGGAAGAGUUUCAAGGGUCAAACAAGACCAAGCAGCAACAACUGAUCAACUUGAGAAGGGACUUCAAGAAUCUGAGGAUGAAGGAGUUUGAGACCAUCAAGCAGUAUGCUGACAUGAUUAUGACCACAUUCAACAACAUAAGACUGCUUGGAGAUGACUUUAGUGACAAGAGGAUAGUUGAAAAGGUCAUUACUACUUUACCAGAGAAGUAUGGGUUAAAAAUCUCUUCUUUGGAAGACUCGAGGGAUCUAUCAGCUAUACCCUUUAACAGAGCUGAUAAAUGCUCUCAACGCACAAGAGUAGAGAAGAGCAAACAGAAUAGAGGAGCAUUCUGAAAGAAAUUUUCAGGCUAGGAGUAGAGAAAGCUCAAGCUCAAGCUCAAGCUACAAAGGCAAGAAGCCUUGGACAAAAAAGAAAGAAAAAUGGAAGAAGGAUACCGCUAAAAUGAAGUUUCCACCAUGCACUCAUUGCAAAAAGACCACUUACUUAGAAAAAUAUUGUUGGUAUAGGCCUGACUUUCAGUGUAGAAACUGCAAGCAACUAGGCCACAUUGAAAAGGUUUGCAAGAACAAGGCAACAACACAACCAUAGCAGUAGAGUCAAGCUCAAGCUGUUGAGGAUGUACAAUCUCAGGAGGAGUAUGUCUUUACUGCCUCUUGCUUUACAAGCUCGAGCAAAGUCAGGAAAAAUUAGAUGAUUGAUAGUGGCUGCACUCAUCACAUGGCUUCAGAUGAAGGUAUGCUUAAGGAGCUUGACACCAACUUUGUGUCCAAAGUCAAAAUUGGGAAUGGUGAGUUCAUCAAGGCCAAACGCAAAGGCAAGAAUGUGAUUUGUACUCAGUCAGGUAAUAAAACCAUCUCAGAAGUUCUUUUUGUACCUGACAUUAAUCAGAAUUUGCUUAAUGUUGGUUAGUUGUUGGAGAAAUGUUACUCCCUUAUUUUUGAAGGAAAGACCUGUGUGAUCAAGGAUUUUUUUUAUCAAGUGUUGGUGACAGUAGUUGUACAUGGUAGAUCAUUUAUUUUGGAUGUGAAUCAGUUAGAAGCAAAGGCAUAUACAGCUCUAGCUGAUGAAUCAUGUUUAUGGCACAAGAGGCUAGGGCAUGUGAACUAUAAGUCACUUGGCUUACUGCAUAAGAUGAGUCUAGUUGAAGACAUGUCCAAGAUCAAGCCUAGGAAUGAUGUUUGUGAGGUUUGCCAACUUGGCAAGUAGACCAGACUGCCUUUUACUGUUAAUAUCAUACUGACAUUUAUAGACCCAUGAAGACUUCUUCAUUGAAUGGUAGUAGGAAUUUUGCAUUGUUCAUUGAUGACUGCACCAAAUUUUGUUGGGUGAGCUUUCUGAAACAAAAGUUAGAAGUGGCUGACUUCUUCUGCAAGUUCAAAGCAUUGGCUGAGAAUCAAGCCAGUUGUAAGUUGAAGAUUUUGAGGUCAGAUAAUAGGACUGACUAUGUGUCUCAAAAGUUCUAAAGGAUUUGUGAUGAAGUUGGAAUCAGCACCAAUUAACCACCAUCAACACACCACAGUAGAAUGGUGUUUGUGAAAGAAAAAAUAGGAUUGUUCUCAAUAUGGCCAGGUGCCUGUUGUUUGAAGGCAAAAUGCCUAACAUUUUUUAGGCUGAAGUAAUAAAUACCUCUGUGUAUUUGCUAAACAGGUUGCCAACUAAUGUAGUCAGGGCAAAACACCAUUUGAAGCUUGGUUUGGACACAAGCCAACUGUCUCACACUUAAAAGUGUUUGGUUGCAUAUACUGUACAUUGGUGCCACCUGAGAAGAGAACUAAACUAGAAAAGAAGUCCAUGCCUAAAGUUUUUGUUGGCUACAAUAGUGUGAAGAAAGGGUAUAGGGUCUUUGAUCUAUCCACUAAGAGGAUCAUUGUGAGUAGAGAUGUGAAAUUCAAUGAAGGGGGCAGUUGGAAAUGGGAUGGAAUAAAUGCAAGCUUGUCUGAGCAAGACCAGCAUGAUCUUGACUUGCAACAUGGUGAGGUUGAAGUUGAUGCUGAGGAUGAUUAUGAUGAUGCACCUUUCAAUGGCACUAGAACCUUAAUGAACAACUAUGAAAGAUGUGGUAUGACCAUUGUCGAGCCUUCCAACUUUGAUGAGGCUGCAAAGGAGGACUGCUGGAAAGAAGUAAUGGAAACUGAAAUGAAGAUGAUCCACAAAAAUGACACUUGAGAGUUGAUUGAUAGGCCAGCAAACAUGAAAGUUAUUUGUUUAAAAUGGGUGUUUAAGACCAAGAACAAAGCAGAUGGGUCACUGAAAAAGCACAAAGGUAGGCUGGUUGUAAAAGGAUACAACCAGCAGCAUGGCAUCGAUUAGUCUGAAACCUUUGCAUAAGUUGCAAGGUUGGAUACCAUAAGGCUAUUGUUUGCCUUAGCUACUCAGAAGCAGUGGAAAGUGCACCAGCUGGACGUUAAACCAGCUUUUCUAAAUGGAUUUCUCAAGGAAGAGAUCUUUGUUGAGCAACUUGAUGGAUUCAAGGUUCUUAGGGAAGAACACAAGGUCUAGAAGCUCAAGAAGGCCUUGUGUAGUCUAAAACAGGUGCGAAGGGCCUGGUAUGAAGAAUUGAUGCCUACUUGUCAAGGCUAGGGUUCGAGAAGAGCUUCAGUGAGCCUACACUCUAUGUGAAGAAGGCUAAGAAAGAAAUAUUUUUGACUGUGUCUUUGUAUGUAAAUAAUCUACUGGUUACUAGUUGUAGGGGUAAGUUGAUUGAAGAAUUCAAGAAGCAGAUGCAAGAUGUUUUCGAGAUGACUGAUUUAGGCUUGAUGACCUACUUCCUUAGUAUGGAAGUGAAUCAGAGUAAGCAUGGUAUUUUUAUAAGCCAACAAUCUUUUGCAUUGAAGGUUCUAAGCAAGUUCUACAUUACAAAAUGCAAGCCUGCUAGCACUCAUGUGCACUAGGAGAAAAACUCUCAAGCAACAGUGAUCAUGACUGUGUGGAUGAGAAAAGCUACAGAAGUCUAGUUGGUUGCCUACUUUACCUGACAAUAACAAGGCCAGACAUCAUGUAUGCAGUUAGCCUUCUAUCGAGGUUCAUACAUUGCGGCAAUGUAGCUCAUUUUAAAAAGCUGCUAAAAGAGUCUUGAGGUAUGUCAAAGGAACCUUAAGCUAUAGAGUGAAGUUUGAGAGAGCUAAGGAGCUGAAGCUAGUUGUCUAUUCAGACAGUGACUGGGUUGGCUCAGCUGAUGAUAUGAAAAGCACAUCGGGCUACUUCUUAACUUUAGGUUCAAGAGUUUUUUGUUAGAGCUCUAAGAAACAAUAGACAGUAGCUCAAUCCACUGCAGAGGCAGAGUAUAUUGCAGUUGCUACUGCUGUUAUUCAAGCCAUUUGGCUUAGAAAGCUUUUGUGUGACUUGAAUGCUAAUCAAGAGGAAACAACAUAGAUCAAAGUGAAUAAUCAAUCAUUUGUUGCUAUUGCCAAGAAUCCUAUUUUUUAUGGCAAGACCAAGCAUGUCAAGAUUAAGUAUCAUUUUGUAAGGGAAGCAGAAUUGUCAAAGGAAGUCAACUUAAUUCAUUGUUGCUCGAAGGUUCAGCUUGCAGACAUUCAGACCAAGCCACUAAUUGCUACAAGAUUCGAGUAUUUGAAGAAGAAAAUUGGAGUCUGCUACUUUGUAGCCAAGGAGGAGUGUUGAAAGGUGGCAACAUAGCAGCAACAUGCAAGUGACCAAGCAACACAACAGCAAUAUGCAAAUGUCCAUGGUGUAAUUCGGUUGUAAAGCUUUUGUAAUAGUUGACUUUUGCUAGUUUGGUUGUAAUCCUUUUUUGUUUGUUCAACUAAGGAUUAAUCAUGUACUUAGCUGAUUUAGCAGUCAUUUAGGUUUUCUUUAAGCUGAUUUAACAUCUUGGAUACUUGCACAAGCAGGUUUUGUUUUUAACUACUUAUGUAUAUGGCAUUUUUGCUUAUUCAAGUAAUGAAAUUGAUCUUUUCUUCAUCAUCCGACAUUCAGAUUUUGCUUCUUUUUUUCAUCUUUCAAACACAAAUUUUUAUUUUUGAUAUUUAGUUAUUGAUUUAAACUCAACAUGGAUCAUUUUCCUUUAGAACAAAAUAAUUAUUUGUCGAUGAAAAGUUAGUCCUUGUUUAGUAGUACAUAUUAAAAUAAUAGGUAUUCACGAAAAUAUAUACAACUAUCAAAUUUUUUAAAAAAAAAAUUAGGGAGGCUGAGUUUUUGAUAAAAAAAGGGUGAAGUUGUGCCAGGUGCUUGGCUUAGGCGACGCAAACAUGAGAGUAGUGAAAAAGAAAAAAAACAAGGGCCAAAUAGUGGGAGUUUUGGUCCAAGCAUAUCGACCCUAAAUCUAAGCUUACUUCAAUUCAGGCACGUUACUAAGAAGAAGUAGACAACUAACUUUGUUUAUCUCUAUUGUGCAGCUGCCUAUUAUCAUCUCAAAAAUGUCGGUAGAAGUGCCAUAUCAACAAGCUAUAUGAGCCUUAUCAAACUUGAUGUCCGAAAAGAUUUUAAGUCAUUGAAUGUUUUUAUUCAUAUAUUUCUACGAGUAGGACAAAUCAAACAUUAAAGAUGAAAACCCAUGUUCAAACAUUAUUUGAUGAAUUGAAAAUUUGUGGUAUAUGAUUUUUGUUAAGAAAUGGCUUUAAAUUGGUAGUGGAUUGUUGUUGUUGGUAGUGGGUUGUUGGUGGUAGUGGAUUAGUGGAUGGUUGUUGGUGUCCAUUUUCAACCACAAAUCUUUGCCAAAGUUUUGGACAAUUAUGUCCUUGAACUCUCUUAUAAAUAGAGAGGUUCAUUAGCCAUAUUAAUCAUCCCAAACCAAGAGAGAGCAAAGCUUGUUCUUUGAAAGCUAGGAUUUUAGCUUUCGGGUUUUCUAUAGGGGUUGAGAGUUGUGAGGUUCUCGGGUUGUGUCUUGAGUGUAAAACACUUGUAAUCUUCAUCUUGUUAUAGUGAAAUUUCUUUUCGCCUCUGCCCGUGGACGUAGGCAUUAAAGCCGAACCACGUAAAUCCUUGUGUUCACUUUAUUUUUCGUUUCGGUCAAUUUACUUGUAGUCAUAUCGGAGUUCUCGAAUCGAUCCUUUCCGCAACAAAUUGGUAUCAGAGCGUAGUUGAAGGAGUGAUAAUAUUUUCUGAAUUGCCCUGUGACUGCAGCUUUGUCUGAUCUUUCACAUCAGGAAGAAAAUAUUAUCAUUCAUUCAAAGGUUCCAAAUUAUGGCUACAAGUGUUUCAUCGACUAAGUAUGAUGUCGAGAAAUUUACCGGGAAAAAUAGUUUCAGUUUAUGGCGCAUCAAGAUGCGGGCAGUGCUGGUUCAACAAGGAUUGCUAAAAGCAUUGUCUGGUAAAGAUAAAUUACCAAGCACGCUUUCGGAAGAGCAAAAGGAUGACAUGCUAGAAAGAGCACAUAGUGCUAUUCUGCUAUGUCUAGGAGAUGAAGUGCUACGAGAAGUAGCGGAUGAAAAAACCGCGUCCGGUUUGUGGCUCCGGUUAGAGAGCAAGUACAUGACGAAGUCAUUGACGAACCGGCUCUACCUCAAGCAAAGACUCUAUGCCCUGAAGAUGGAGGAAGGUACACCUGUUUCCCAGCACCUGGAUAAAUUCAAUUCCAUUAUCAUGGAUUUGAAUAAUAUCGAUAACAAAAUCGAUGAUGAGGACCAAGCAAUAAUUGUUUUGUGUUCUUUGCCUCCCUCGUAUGAGAAUUUUGUUGAUACAAUGAUGUACGGUCGUGAUGACCUGACUCUAGAGGAGGUGAAAAAUGCCUUAAGUUCCAGUGAGUUGAGGAAGAAAAUCACUGGUAAGGUGGUCGAAAACAAUGAAGGCGAAGGCUUGGUUGCUCGAGGAAGAUCCAAGGCAAAGGGUGGAAGUUCAAGUAAAAGCCAUCCUAGAUCGCAGUCCAAGAAGAGAAUACAGUGCUACUACUGUAAGAAGUACGGGCACAUGAAGGUAGAUUGUCCGAAAAGGAAGGAGAAAUCAGAAUCACAGGAGCAACAAAAUGAUCGUGCGAAUGUAGCUGAUGCAGAUUCUUCAAGUGAUGCCGAGAUCGUUCUUGCAGUAUCCGACUCUUACGCUGGUGGGAGAUGGAUUCUUGAUACGGGAGCUACAUUUCAUAUAAGUACUUCGAAAGAUGCAUUCUCAACAUACGAGAAGCAUUCUGGUUCAGUACUAAUGGGAAAUGACCACGCAUGUCAAGUCAUGGGGAUUGGCACAGUUCGUAUAAAGAUGUUUGACGGUAUUGUUAGAACUCUAACUGAUGUUCGGCACAUUCCAGAAAUGAAGAAAAAUUUGAUCUCUUUGAGUACGUUGGACAAGAAAGGCUUUCGGUACUCUGCUGAAGGUGGAGUUCUCAAGGUAUUCUCGGGUGCUUUGACUGUGAUACGUGGUAAUUUGGAGCGGGGCCUUUACUUCCUCGAUGGUUCCUCGGUUACAGGUGUUGCGGGAGUGUCAUCAUCAGAUGAUCUAGAUUCUGACACCACGAAGUUAUGGCAUAUGCGGCUCGGGCAUAUGAGCGAGAGAGGCUUAUCGGUGCUAAGCAAACGAGGAUUAUUGUCUGGGCAGUGUACAGGAAAGUUGAAUUUCUGUGAGCACUGCGUCUUCGGUAAGCAGACUCGGGUAAAGUUCAGCACUGGGAUUCACAAGACAAAAGGCACAGUGGAUUACUUCCAUUCUGACCUUUGGGGGCCUUCUCCGACAAUUUCUAAAGGUGGUUACAGAUAUCUGCUUACCUUUAUCGAUGAUUACUCGAGAAAGGUUUGGGUGUAUUUUCUGAAGAGCAAGUAUGAGGUUCUCAUCAACUUCAAGCAAUUUAAAGCUUUGAUCGAAAAUCAAACAGGAAAGAAGAUCAAGCGAUUCCGGACGGAUAAUGGCUUGGAGUUUUGCUCAGGUGAAUUCAAUGAGUUCUGCAAAAAUGAAGGAAUAGUGAGACACCGCACUGUUCGUCGAACACCACAACAAAAUGGAGUUGCAGAACGCAUGAAUAGAACUCUCUUGGAGCGAGCUCGUUGCAUGCGAUCAAAUGCUGGGCUCGGUGAAGAAUUUUGGGCUGAAGCUGUUAAUACUGCUUGUUAUUUGGUUAACAGAUCUCCGUCAACAGCUAUUGAGCUGAAGACUCCUGAGGAAGUAUGGUCUGGUUCUCCUGCUGAUUACUCUGGUUUAAGAGUGUUUGGCUGCCCUGCGUAUGCUCAUGUAAAUGAGGGAAAACUCAAACCGAGGGCGAAGAAAUGCAUAUUUCUUGGAUACGGCCAAGGGGUGAAAGGAUACAGGUUGUGGUGUCCUGAUCCGGUUUCGUCCAAGUUCAUCAUCAGCAGAGAUGUGACUUUUGAUGAGUCAUCCAUGCUUCGAUCCACCACAAAUUCCCGGGAAAAGGAGGAGUCAGAUAGAAUGGGAGAUCACGGUGUUGAGAAGCAGGUGGAGUGUCAGGUGGACGCUCCAAUUCCUACGGAAGGUACUUCAGUCCAGGAUGAUCAAGUUGAGGUGCAAGAUUCCGAUGAAGAUGAGUCACCUCAAGAAAAACCAUAUAGCAUUGCCACUGGAAGAACGAAGAGACAAAUCAAACCAAAUCCGCGUUACGCUAAUCUGGUGUCUUUCGCGCUCAGUGUGGCGGAGUCCAUUGGUAUAGAACCUUCCAGUUAUAAUGAGGCUGUCACGUGUGAUGAGUCGGCACAGUGGGCAAUUGCUAUGAGUGAGGAGAUAGAAUCUCUUCACAAGAACCAUACUUGGGAGUUGGUUAAGCCGCCAAGUAACCAGAAGAUAGUUGGUUGCAAAUGGGUCUUCAAGAAAAAGGAAGGCAUCCUAGGGGUUGAAGCAACUAGAUUCAAGGCACGAUUGGUUGCUAAAGGCUUCACUCAGAAAGAGGGGAUUGACUACAAUGAAGUUUUCUCCCCAGUCGUAAAGCAUUCUUCCAUUCGUGUAUUACUUGCCAUGGUGGCCAAGUCUGAUCUAGAACUUGAGCAGCUUGACGUAAAAACGGCGUUCUUGCAUGGUGAGCUCGAGGAAACAAUCUACAUGCGUCAACCAGAGGGUUUUACAGUUCCUGGUAAAGAAGACCAUGUCUGUCUAUUAAAGAAGUCUUUAUAUGGAUUGAAACAAUCCCCAAGGCAGUGGUACAAGCGGUUUGAUAGCUUCAUGAUUCAGCAUGGUUACACAAGAUGUGACUAUGAUGCUUGUGUCUAUCAUCGGAAGCUCUCGGAUGGUUCGCACAUUUAUUUGUUGCUGUAUGUUGAUGACAUGUUAAUUGCUUCCAAAAACAUGUCGGAAAUCAACAAGUUAAAGUCGCAGUUGAGUGGUGAGUUCGAGAUGAAGGAUCUGGGUGCUGCCAAGAAAAUUUUGGGCAUGGAUAUUCACAGAGAUCGCAAGGCGGGCAAGCUUCGUGUGUCGCAGAAGAACUACAUUGAAAAGGUUCUUCAACGCUUCGGCAUGGAUAAAGCGAAAACUGUGAGUACUCCGUUGGCACCACAUUUCAAACUCUCUGCAGAGUUGUCACCACAAUCUGAUGAAGAAAAGCAGCAAAUGUCUCACAUUCCAUACUCGAGUGCAGUUGGAAGCGUGAUGUAUGCAAUGGUUUGCACUCGUCCAGACAUUUCACAUGCAGUUAGUGUGGUCAGCAGAUACAUGAGUUGUCCUGGCAAGGAACACUGGCAGGCCGUGAAAUGGAUUCUCAGGUACUUGAGAGGUUCUGCAGAUUUAUGCUUGGUAUAUGAUCAGAGUGACUGCACUAGCAGUGUCACGGGCUAUGUGGACUCUGAUUAUGCUGGAGAUCUGGACAAAAGAAGAUCUCUGACGGGUUAUGUUUUCACUUAUUCUGGAGGAGCCAUUAGUUGGAAAGCUGUGUUACAGUCUACCGUAGCCUUAUCUACGACUGAGGCGGAAUAUAUGGCGUUAGCAGAAGCAGUGAAAGAAGCAUUGUGGAUGAAAGGUCUAGUAAGCAGUUUGGGUUUACAACAGGAUUUCACUGUUGUAUUUUGCGAUAGCCAGAGUGCCAUACAUCUGACUAAAAAUCAGAUGUUUCAUGAACGGACCAAACACAUUGAUGUCAGAUAUCAUUUUGUUCGGGAACAUGUUACGCAAGGUGACAUUGUUAUCAGCAAGGUUGCUACCGAGAAGAAUCCUGCAGAUAUGUUAACUAAGGUGAUCCCUGCAUAUAAGUUCAAGCAUUGCUUGGACUUGAUAGGUAUUCGGGAUUGAUUAGCGCCAGAGAGGCGUUUGGAAGAGGUGAUCCAGUUCGAGGAAUUCACUAUGAUGUUCAGCUUGGUAAAUUUCAAGCCAAGGUGGAGAUUUGUUAAGAAAUGGCUUUAAAUUGGUAGUGGAUUGUUGUUGUUGGUAGUGGGUUGUUGGUGGUAGUGGAUUAGUGGAUGGUUGUUGGUGUCCAUUUUCAACCACAAAUCUUUGCCAAAGUUUUGGACAAUUAUGUCCUUGAACUCUCUUAUAAAUAGAGAGGUUCAUUAGCCAUAUUAAUCAUCCCAAACCAAGAGAGAGCAAAGCUUGUUCUUUGAAAGCUAGGAUUUUAGCUUUCGGGUUUUCUAUAGGGGUUGAGAGUUGUGAGGUUCUCGGGUUGUGUCUUGAGUGUAAAACACUUGUAAUCUUCAUCUUGUUAUAGUGAAAUUUCUUUUCGCCUCUGCCCGUGGACGUAGGCAUUAAAGCCGAACCACGUAAAUCCUUGUGUUCACUUUAUUUUUCGUUUCGGUCAAUUUACUUGUAGUCAUAUCGGAGUUCUCGAAUCGAUCCUUUCCGCAACAAUUUUUGUAUUUUAAUUAAUAUUUUAAUCAGGCCACAGUCCUUGCCUAGGCCUCUAGCGGUGGAAGCCCGAGGGAAGAAAGAUAGAGAAAGGGCCAGCAGGUGCAGGAGGAGACAAAAUAAUUGAAGUUUUGGUCUUGCUAUCCUAACGUUUCAGUGGCAGAGAAAGGAGAUUAAUUAAUCAAGGUUGAGGCUGACCAAGUGAAGCAUUCGAUUUCUUCAUCUAACAGUUAUUAUGAUUCAUCCCCCACCCUUGCUCUUUCACCCUUGUGCCAAUGAAAGUUAUGUUUAUCUUUAUGGUGCCAAUCAAUCUGUGGCUGAAAAGUCAGUCCACUAAUAAAGCCAAUUGUAGUGUCAUUUCAUAACCAAAAAAAGUCGAAGUCUUUGUGUCGAAACCACUCUUUAUUAAAAUUUGAAAAAUGGGGAUCGACUUUGAAAAUAAAAUGAGAGUCGCCACCGAUCUUUUAUUAAUCGGUUCACCAUUAAAAAUAAAUUUUAGGUCUACUUGAGCACCUCUACUUGAGCACAACUUUUUUUAAUUCUUGUUAGUUUAUGAGAUAUUUUCACCUUUUUUAUAUAAAAAUAUGUUUUAGUUUCUAAUAUUUUAAAUAUAUAGGUUCUGUUCUAAUACUUUAUUUGCAAAUUAUGUCUAUUGUUUUUAAUAAUUAUGAAAAUUGCAAUCAAAAUCGAUGACCUAAAAAUUCAACAAUAAUUAAAUCAAAUAAAACGUGAAUAUAUUCAAACAAAAUUAAUAGAUAACAUCAGAUCAACUAAUAGUACUGUAAAUUCAACAAUAAAGGGAAUAACUAGAAUCUAUAUAAACAAUAUGAAGAAAAAAUUAAAGACGUGACAAGAGUUGCAUCCAACAGGACCAAUACUGUUUCGAUUACGUUUUGCUACCGCCUUAUGCCGCUGCCUGAAUUUGCCUAUUUGAUGUAAACCCACGGCCCCUUCCACCAUAUUCCCAACAAAAUACUUAUAGUUUGAUAUAGAAUAAAUUGUCCAUCAUUUUUUUAUCGAUAGACGAACUGGAUCGAUAAUUAAUAUUCUUUUUUUAUUAAUUCUCGAAGAGUUAAAUACUUUUGAAUCAUCAAAAUAUCUAGAUUAAUUUCUCCCCGUUGAAUAGAGGAUAUAACAAUUUCGUUUGGAUUUAUCAGUCUAAGUAGGAGGCAAUAUACUUUAAUAUUAUUGAUUAUUUUUUUAUUUAAAGAAUCAUCCCAUCUCAAUUGAAAACGCAAAUACCUUUUUAAGAAAAAAUCAAGCUCUGCUUCCGUUUUGCUCUUGUAUUGCUUUUUCUUUCUACUUUUUUUUUUGUUUGAUUUAUCAUAAUCUUCUUCAACAUCUUUUUCUUGGUUUGAGAGAACGGAUUUAAAAUUUCCUUGUUUUUGUGCAUCUGAUACCAUACCCCCUUCACCUAUGGGUUCUUUUUCUUCUUGAUUUUGAUUCUCUAAUCCAAUAAUUUGUUUUUCGUUUGGUGCUAUAAGGGAGUCCCUUUUUUAUUUUUAGUAAUAUUUUUAUUAAUGUUUCUAUUUCCAUUAAAAUUGAAAAGAAGUAAUUUUAUUGGUAUGAUCCAUGGUUUAACCUUAUAUGCAUUAUAUAGCAGCACAAAUUCUGGGAAGAACCAAAGUUCUAGAUUCGGUAUAGGAUGACUUAGUAUUUCUUCAUUCAGUCCCAUCCAAUCAAAAUGGCUUCCUUCUUUAUUGGAUGGGUUGCUUUCUUAAUCUUGAUAAAUUGUGAAAUAAAAAAAGGUCCAUUUUAUCAAUUAUUUGAUAAUUCUUAACCACAGUCUUAAUAUUUUUGUUACUCUUGGUACUGGUAUCGACCCAAGACUCAAUAUCGAC
RNAcentral lists this long non-coding RNA (40386 nucleotides) under Gossypium barbadense (sea-island cotton). RNAcentral's name for it is "long non-coding RNA (GBAR_LNC013179)". The record is from RNAcentral. Lineage: Eukaryota; Viridiplantae; Streptophyta; Magnoliopsida; Malvales; Malvaceae.